AAGCAGGGGAUCGCAAGACCUUGUGCUUUUAGAGGGGCCGAUGGCUGAUUAGCUAGUUGGUGGGGUAACGGCUUACCAAGGCAACGAUCAGUAGGUGGUCUGAGAGGACGACCAGCCACACUGGGACUGAGACACGGCCCAGACUCCUACGGGAGGCAGCAGUGGGGAAUUUUGGACAAUGGGCGCAAGCCUGAUCCAGCGAUGCCGCGUGAGUGAAGAAGGCCUUCGGGUUGUAAAGCUCUUUCGCCGGGAAGAAAGAGUUGCGGCUAAUACCCCGAUGAAUGACGGUACCGAGAAAAGAAGCACCGGCUAACUACGUGCCAGCAGCCGCGGUAAUACGUAGGGUGCAAGCGUUAAUCGGAAUUACUGGGCGUAAAGGGUGCGCAGGCGGCCUUGUAAGUCAGAUGUGAAAUCCCAGGGCUUAACCUUGGAACUGCGUUUGAAACUACAAGACUAGAGU
This 460-nucleotide ribosomal RNA is filed under the name uncultured ammonia-oxidizing beta proteobacterium. RNAcentral's name for it is "bacterial SSU rRNA". It matches the Rfam family "Bacterial small subunit ribosomal RNA", at positions 202 to 647 of the family's 1533-position model. Lineage: Bacteria; Pseudomonadati; Pseudomonadota; Betaproteobacteria. The record is from RNAcentral.